CACGCCCUAAACGAUGCAUAUUUGGUGUGGGCAGUUCAUUCUGUCCGUGCCGGAGCUAACGCGUUAAAUAUGCCGCCUGGGGAGUACAGUCGCAAGGCUGAAACUCAAAGGAAUUGACGGGGGCCCGCACAAGCGGUGGAGCAUGUGGUUCAAUUCGACGCAACGCGAAGAACCUUACCUGGGCUCGAACGGCCGGUUACCGGCGGUGGAAACAUCGCUACCCCGCAAGGGGGUCCGGUCGAGGUGCUGCAUGGCUGUCGUCAGCUCGUGUCGUGAGAUGUUGGGUUAAGUCCCGCAACGAGCGCAACCCUUGUCCUGUGUUGCCAUCAUUAAGUUGGGAACUCGCAGGAGACCGCCAGGGAUAACCUGGAGGAAGGUGGGGAUGACGUCAAGUCCUCAUGGCCUUUAUGUCCAGGGCUACACACGUGAUACAAUGGACGGUACAAAGCGCUGCAAACCCGCGAGGGGGAGCCAAUCGCAGAAAACCGUUCUCAGUUCGGAUUGCAGGCUGCAACUCGCCUGCAUGAAGCUGGAAUCGCUAGUAAUGGCAUAUCACCCCUAGUCCCAAAGUCGUCGCCGUGCCUACCCACGGUUCCAUCCGGACGGUUCA
Molecule: ribosomal RNA, 610 nt
Filed under: uncultured bacterium
Lineage: Bacteria
Description: bacterial SSU rRNA
Rfam family: Bacterial small subunit ribosomal RNA
Source: RNAcentral